GAUAUAAACCAAUGUUGCCUCUGUGUCUCUAAAUUAAAUAUAUACACAUCUCCAAAGCAGUUUAUAGUAGCUAGCCAUUGCCCGUCGAUGCUGAUGAACAUUCUAGUUAUGGGAGGUUCAGCAGGUAAUAGUUCUUCAACAUGCUCUUCACGACGAGGUGUAAAAACAUGAACUAGUUCUGAGCUUCCUGCCUCCACCACCUAGA
This 205-nucleotide unclassified non-coding RNA is filed under the name Hevea brasiliensis (rubber tree). The record is from RNAcentral. Lineage: Eukaryota; Viridiplantae; Streptophyta; Magnoliopsida; Malpighiales; Euphorbiaceae.